AUAUAUAUAUACACACACACACACAGAGAGAGAUAUGGAUCGAUAUAUAUCAAUCUUAUUGUAUCAAAACCAAAAAAUGGAGCUUUCUUGUGUGUGUGUGUGUGUGUGUGUGUAU
Molecule: non-coding RNA, 115 nt
Organism: Podarcis lilfordi (Lilford's wall lizard)
Lineage: Eukaryota; Metazoa; Chordata; Lepidosauria; Squamata; Lacertidae
Source: the annotation of a GenBank genome assembly